RNAcentral lists this ribosomal RNA (182 nucleotides) under Aeromonas salmonicida subsp. salmonicida. RNAcentral describes it as "partial 16S ribosomal RNA". It matches the Rfam family "Bacterial small subunit ribosomal RNA", at positions 1358 to 1533 of the family's 1533-position model. Lineage: Bacteria; Pseudomonadati; Pseudomonadota; Gammaproteobacteria; Aeromonadales; Aeromonadaceae. The record is from RNAcentral.
CGCGGUGAAUACGUUCCCGGGCCUUGUACACACCGCCCGUCACACCAUGGGAGUGGGUUGCACCAGAAGUAGAUAGCUUAACCUUCGGGAGGGCGUUUACCACGGUGUGAUUCAUGACUGGGGUGAAGUCGUAACAAGGUAACCCUAGGGGAACCUGGGGUUGGAUCACCUCCUUACCUUAA